Molecule: transfer RNA, 75 nt
Filed under: Deltaproteobacteria bacterium
Lineage: Bacteria; Pseudomonadati; Myxococcota; Myxococcia
Also listed under: 3 other names
Description: tRNA-Pro
Source: RNAcentral
GGGCCCGUGGGUUAGCUUGGCCAAUACUCGAGCGUUUGGGACGCUUGGACUCCGGUUCAAAUCCGGACGGGCCCA